RNAcentral lists this ribosomal RNA (385 nucleotides) under uncultured bacterium. RNAcentral describes it as "bacterial SSU rRNA". It matches the Rfam family "Bacterial small subunit ribosomal RNA", at positions 29 to 442 of the family's 1533-position model. The record is from RNAcentral.
AACGAACGCUGGCGGCAGGCCUAACACAUGCAAGUCGAACGCACCGCAAGGUGAGUGGCGCACGGGUGAGUAACACGUGGGAAUGAACCCUUUGGUUCGGAAUAACGUUUGGAAACGAACGCUAAUACCGGAUGAGCCCUGCGGGGGAAAGAUUUAUCGCCAAAGGAGCAGCCCGCGUCUGAUUAGCUAGUUGGUGGGGUAAAGGCCUACCAAGGCGACGAUCAGUAGCUGGUCUGAGAGGAUGAUCAGCCACACUGGGACUGAGACACGGCCCAGACUCCUACGGGAGGCAGCAGUGGGGGAAUAUUGGACAAUGGGCGAAAGCCUGAUCCAGCAAUGCCGCGUGAGUGAUGAAGGCCUUAGGGUUGUAAAGCUCUUUUACCCG